This is an unclassified non-coding RNA of Pongo abelii (Sumatran orangutan), 148 nucleotides long. It matches the Rfam family "Metazoan signal recognition particle RNA". Rfam says of the family: The signal recognition particle (SRP) is a universally conserved ribonucleoprotein. It is involved in the co-translational targeting of proteins to membranes. The eukaryotic SRP consists of a 300-nucleotide 7S RNA and six proteins: SRPs 72, 68, 54, 19, 14, and 9. The record is from Ensembl. Lineage: Eukaryota; Metazoa; Chordata; Mammalia; Primates; Hominidae.
GCUGGGUGUGGUGGCGCAUGCCUGUAGUCCCAGCUACUCAGGAACCUGAGGUAGGAGGAUCGCUUGAGCCCAGGAGGUCAAGGCUGCAGUGAACUAGGAUCACGCCACUGCACCCCAGCCUGAACGACAGAGUGAGACCCUGUCUCUA